UACGGGGGAUGCAAGCGUUAUCCGGAAUCAUUGGGCGUAAAGCGCCUGUAGGUUGUUUAGUAAGUCUGUUGUUAAAGACCAGGGCUUAACCCUGGGAAAGCAAUGGAAACUACUAGACUUGAGUAUGGCAGGGGUAGAGGGAAUUUCUAGUGUAGCGGUGAAAUGCGUAGAUAUUAGAAAGAACACCGGCGGCGAAAGCGCUCUACUGGACCAUUACUGACACUCAGAGGCGAAAGCUAGGGGAGCAAAA
This 250-nucleotide ribosomal RNA is filed under the name uncultured bacterium. RNAcentral describes it as "partial 16S ribosomal RNA". It matches the Rfam family "Bacterial small subunit ribosomal RNA", at positions 524 to 773 of the family's 1533-position model. The record is from RNAcentral.